Small nucleolar RNA from Carya illinoinensis, 139 nucleotides. RefSeq annotates it as small nucleolar RNA Z247. The transcript has a single exon. NCBI's taxonomy places the organism in Eukaryota, Viridiplantae, Streptophyta, Magnoliopsida, Fagales, Juglandaceae. The record is from RefSeq and is a predicted model, not a curated record.
CCCCUUACUGAUUGUGAACUGAUCAGUUAUAUUCUUGCAGGCCUUGGAUCUGAUUAUGAUUCUCUUAUCACCUCGCUCACCACUCGAUUAGAACCGAUGAAUCUCCAAGAGACAUAUGGCCACCUCCUCAAUUAUGAGU